AUGCUAGCUUCAGCAGUAUAUAUACUAAAAUUGGAAUUAUAUGAAGAAGAUUAGCAUGGCCCUUGUGCAAAGAUGACACACAAAUUUGUGAAGUAUUCCAUAUUAUU
Molecule: small nuclear RNA, 107 nt
Filed under: Salvator merianae (Argentine black and white tegu)
Lineage: Eukaryota; Metazoa; Chordata; Lepidosauria; Squamata; Teiidae
Source: RNAcentral